Molecule: ribosomal RNA, 419 nt
Filed under: bacterium enrichment culture clone ALO1_GLFRUDD03GRJV1
Lineage: Bacteria
Description: bacterial SSU rRNA
Rfam family: Bacterial small subunit ribosomal RNA
Source: RNAcentral
GAGUUUGAUCGUGGCUCAGAUUGAACGCUGGCGGCAUGCCUUACACAUGCAAGUCGAACGGCAGCACGGGAGCUUGCUCCUGGUGGCGAGUGGCGAACGGGUGAGUAAUGCAUCGGAACGUAUCCUGGAGUGGGGGAUAACGUAGCGGAAGUUACGCUAAUACCGCAUAUUCUGUGAGCAGGAAAGCGGGGGACCUUCGGGCCUCGCGCUCUUGGAGCGGCCGAUGUCGGAUUAGCUAGUUGGUGAGGUAAAGGCUCACCAAGGCGACGAUCCGUAGCAGGUCUGAGAGGAUGAUCUGCCACACUGGAACUGAGACACGGUCCAGACUCCUACGGGAGGCAGCAGUGGGGAAUUUUGGACAAUGGGGGCAACCCUGAUCCAGCCAUGCCGCGUGAGUGAAGAAGGCCUCGGUUGUAAGU